CCCAUGAUUCAAUUUUCUAGGCAGUCACCCCCACCACUCUCCUUAUUCUUCAUCUCUAUUAUUUCUCUCUUCUCUCUCGGAACAAGAAAGAGAAAUUAUUUUGUUCUGUGAACCUUCUUCAUCUCUCUAUUACUCCUUAUUUACCAAAACUAAUCGACCUGCCUUAUCUCUUUAUUCUGCUGCUACAAUCUAAAUCUGUUUGAAACAAAAAAACUUCUUCCCAGGAAACCCAAAACCCCUUUUCUUCAUAAUCAGAAAACCCGUUAUCUCCGUCAAAAAAAAAAAACGUUCUUUUUUAUCAUCACAAUCAGAAAACCCUAACUCUCCAUCGAAGAUCAAAAGAGUAAUAGAAAUCAGUGGAGAUGUUUCGGUUGGAUGUUAUUCUUCAAUUAAGAAUUGUUGAUUUGGGUUUGAUGUUGAAGUUGUUUCUUACAAGGGCAUCAGCUCCGGCUCAUAGAAGAGUUAAGGAAAGUCAUCUUAGUUCUGAUGCCAUCUUCAGACAGAGUCAUGCUGGUUUGUUCAAUCUCUGUAUUGGUGUACUGGUCGCAGUCAAAAUAAGUCUUAUUACUGAAAAUUUAAUGAAGGUUUGUAUAUUUUUCCUUAGUAUGCUACGCAGUUGAAUUGGAGCCCGCUAUUACAGAAGGCUUACUAAUAUAUUCCUCAGUUUUAAAUCCAACCCUCUUGUGGUAUACGACUGUUUAGUUGUUUGAGUUUUUGUUAUGCUUAUUAUUGCAAUAUGGCUUACUAAUUGGAUCUGGAUUUUGGUUCAGCUUUACAUCACUAAGAGACUGACCACUUUUCAUGUGUUGGAUUGAUUCAACUGCUGUAUCUGGUGUAACACUAAUGAUUUUUGCUAGUGUUGUGUGGUUUAAGUUGGUGUCAUAUGCACAUACAAAUUACGAUAUGAGGGCGCUUUCCAAGUCCAGCGACUAGGUGGCCCCUUACAGUAUUUUCUAUUCGCUGAUGGAAGAGCACCUGAGCCAAGUUGGUGUCAUACAACUAACAACAAAUGGAACGAAACGCUUGUUUUGGGUGUGGUGGAUCCAAACGAUUCAUUAUCUCAUCCGGCAGGGGUCUUUGAUGUUCAAGUUAAUUCUGCUACGUGCUUAGCUUCUGAUCAUUUUGCCAACUUCUUGGUGAAAACUUGGGAAAAGCAUCUGAAUGCCUUUUGCACUGAAAGAUGGAACUUGAAUUAAUCUACAAAGUCUAAUCCAAUGUUAUGAGGACACCUAGCUGAUGAAGUUAUUCCCUCAAAUUGUUCGAAACAUCUGUGACCAGGACGUGCUUGCAGAAGAUAAGAUUCUUCAAUGAUUCCGCUAAGGAUUAAACCUCAAGGGAAGUGUUGCAGAGGGAAAAGACCUUGUGUUGUCGGUUACAUCUGUCAUGGGAAAGGAGCAGAUCUGUACUGUUAAGGACAUUUCUAUCCAAAUAGAAAAUGACCUUUAGACUUUAUUACUACAGUAUCUGUUUGUUACUUCAUAUGGGAGAAGAGGUGAACUAUAACUUGUAGUCCCCAAGCAAUAGAUGUGCUGAGGAAAACUAAUGUUCUUAUUACUCCAACAAAAGCUACUAGCACUGGAGGGGUAUGAAUAACUAUCCCAUGAGAUAUUGUCAUCUUCAGUUGGUGAAGAAUUUGUUACUAAGUUUGAGAAUUUACUAUGAUUAUUUGGUACUUGUCUACUGGGUUCAUAGAUCCAGCAUUCCUCGCUUACAUUUUCUUGUUAGAUACCCUUGGCCGGCAUCUCAUACUUUGAUCUAACAUCAUAAGGUGUUGUAUCUUUAUAAUACCUAUCUAUUUAUAAGUAGAGCUUGAUGAUAUUGAUGCAUCGCCUUUCUUGUGUUUCUGUUAUUUUUUUGUCGGUCUGUGAAGGAGAAAGUUUUCAAUUAGGUUCAAAGGUUUUGUAGCUGAUGGCGGUAGAUUACUACCUUCGGGACAAGCAGGGAGAUAAGUCUUGUUGGAAUCCUGCGCCGUGCUCAGGGCUGUGUUGUACUUGACAAAGAUGGGUUCACAACAAAGAAACAAACACAUUUCUUUGAUAUUGUGAGGUGGCUCCAACGAAGAAAGUUGAUUCAGCAGCUCAUUGUAAACUAGGGUAUUCAGACUUGCACUUGUCUUUAAGAAACAUGUGAACCUAUCAGCUAAGACUUGUAUUGGUGCAAAUUCAGGAUUUUUUUUUUGUUUUUUUUUUCUGAUUUUGAAGCUAAGUGCAGGUUUCAUUUCAUUGAAAUUUUGCAAUUUGAACAUGUAUGAAUUGUACAAUGAAUACUGGUUCCUAAAUAAUUGUCAUUUAAAUUUAUGAAUCCAGGUUUCAUUUCAUUGUAA
RNA transcript from Papaver somniferum (opium poppy), 2323 nucleotides. It is a transcript of the gene named diacylglycerol O-acyltransferase 1-2-like, with no coding region annotated. Lineage: Eukaryota; Viridiplantae; Streptophyta; Magnoliopsida; Ranunculales; Papaveraceae. The record is from RefSeq and is a predicted model, not a curated record. The transcript is spliced from 11 exons.